ACGGACAUACAGUAGCAACUUAACACCUCCAUUGAUUCCAGAACCAGUAACAAGUACAAAGUGCCAAUUACAGUUAAAUCAAAGCCAAAACCAAAAGAAGACUGGGGGAGAGGCAAGCAACCCAAUUCACAGAAACAAAAUUACCUGGAACCAUUGAACCAAAGACAACCAAAGAAAGAGAGGUGACAGAAGCUAAAGGAUUAAGUAGAGGGAAAGGCAAGCAACCCAAUUCACAAGGGGGAAUGCACCGACAAAUGGUUUUCACUUGCCACUUGUUGGCCUGUCACCUUCAUAGUUCAUUCCAAUAACAUGCAGCAGAUGAUAUAUGAUCCUUGCAUUUAUCUGCCAAGAUUCAAUCUCUAGAUCGACAAUAUACUGCAUGCUCUUAUCACAUAUCUUCUCUAUACCUCCUAUUUUGCACUCAACAAAUCCUUCUAAAUCUUUUCCACUGGUCUACCAAAUUCCAUUUGGUAAAGUUCUAAAUUAAAUCAAUACCAUGUAUUCUCAUGUCAAACCAGGGUUCUCAAUUUCGAUAUGUACUGUCCGGGACGAGCAGUAUGUACCGGUCCGAGAGAAUACUGGAACGCGGACCGUCCUCCACUAGACAGUACCAAUGUUUUGACCAGUACCGAGGCAUAACGAUCGGUACCACCCCAGAUUUCGAUCGUUACCAAGGCAUACCGAUCGGUAUACCCUGGCGUGAUAGGCGAAGGUAUUUUUAAGGUUUUAGGAUGUACCAUCAGUACACCCUAGUGUAUCGACA
RNAcentral lists this long non-coding RNA (763 nucleotides) under Musa acuminata (dwarf banana). Its description in RNAcentral is "long non-coding RNA (MACU_LNC002515)". Lineage: Eukaryota; Viridiplantae; Streptophyta; Magnoliopsida; Zingiberales; Musaceae. The record is from RNAcentral.